AAGGAAGGAAGGAAGGAAGGAAGGAAGGAAGGAAGGAAGGAAGGAAGGAGAAAGCAGGAAAGAAGGCAGGAUGGAUGGAUGGAUGGAUGGAUGGAAGGAAGGAAGGAAGGAAGGAAGGAGGAAAGAAGGCAGGAUGGAUGGAUGGAGGAGAACCUGCUCCCUCCCCCGAUCCAGCCCUGAGCAACCUGACACCCCCUACUCCCCCACCUCCGCUAGUCACGCAGAUCCUGGAGAACCGCCUGGCAGAGCAAAGAAAAUGGAGGGAAAGACAAUAUUCGGUUACAUCAAAAGGAGCUUCAGAGAAGACGCUGAGGAACUUCUAUGCAGGGGAGGAAAAUUUGCAAAUUAAGUAGACAAGCUGAAAAUUGCAUGAGACCCACUUCAAAAUCUCUUUAGAAAUUAUUGCGACCACAUCUGAGUGAGAAGGAAAUAGGCCGGGGUAAAGAAUGAGGAACAGUCCUCUCCUAUUAUCAGGAAGAAAAGGUGAAGACAACGGCUGCUUUAUGCUUGCACGAGAACAAAUAAAAUAUGAAAUAAAAAUACAGGUUGUGGGAUUAUCUGUAAAAAAAAAAAAGGGUAAAAUUAUCAGGGAAAUGGCACCUCUCCUAUCAAACGAUCUGUGGGCUUCGUCCAU
Pantherophis guttatus is the source of this 634-nucleotide non-coding RNA. The record is from RefSeq and is a predicted model, not a curated record. Lineage: Eukaryota; Metazoa; Chordata; Lepidosauria; Squamata; Colubridae.